Molecule: long non-coding RNA, 294 nt
Filed under: Linum usitatissimum (flax)
Lineage: Eukaryota; Viridiplantae; Streptophyta; Magnoliopsida; Malpighiales; Linaceae
Description: long non-coding RNA (LUSI_LNC003906)
Source: RNAcentral
GCGCAGCAGAGGGACUGCACGCCAUGCAAGGCUGCAGCCGUGCAGUCCAUCAAAUUACUCGAGAGCAUGGCGUUAAAACAUAAGCACGGCGUGCACCAAUGCACGCCGUUCAACCCUUUGAGCGUCGAAGGAUGGAGAAAAAGUGGAACUGCACGCCGUUCCUCCCUUUUUGCGUCGCAGAAUGGAGGAGAAUUGAAGAUGCACGGCGUGCAUCACUGCAUGCCGUUCCCCCUACUUUUGGUACGCGGAACAGACACCUUUGGGAUGCACGCCGUGCACCUUCCCAAAUCCGGC